GUGUAAUUGGAGAGAAAAAUGGGAUUUGUUGGGAUUUGGGUCAUGGAAUUCGGGAGAAAUGGGUUUUGGUGGGAUUUGGGUCAUAAACUGGGGAUAAAAAUAGGAUUUGUUGGGAUUUGGGUCGUUGAAUUGGAGAGAAGAUGGGAUUUGGUGGGAUUUGGGUCAUAUACUGGGGAGAAAAAUGGGAUUUGUUGGGAUUUGGGUUGUAGAAUUGGGGAGAAAAAUGGGAUUUGGUGGGAUUUGGGUCUUAAACUGGGGAUAAAAUGGGAUUUGGUUCGAUUUGGGUCAUAUACUGGGGAGAAAAAUGGGAUUUGUUGGGAUUUGGGUCGUAGAAUUGGGGAGAAAAAUGGGAUUUGUUGGGAUUUGGGUCAUAAACUGGAGGGAAAAAUGGGAUUUGUUGGGAUUUGGGUGGUGGAAUUGGGGAGAAAAAUGGGAUUUGGUGGGAUUUGGAUCAUAAACUGGGGAGAAAAGUGGGAUUUAGGUCAUGGAAUUGGGGAGAAAAAUGGGAUUUGUUGGGAUUUGAGUCUUAAACUGGGGAUAAAAUGGGAUUUGGUGGGAUUUGAGUCAUGGAAUUGGGGAGAAAAAUGGGAUUUGUUGGGAUUUGGGUCUUAAACUGGGGAUAAAAUGGGAUUUGGUGCGAUUUGAAUUGUGGAAUUGGGAUCAAAACAGGAUUUGGGUCAUAAACUGGGGAGAAAAAUGGGAUUUGGUGGGAUUUGGGUGGUGGAAUUGGGGAGAAAAUGGGAUUUGUUGGGAUUUGGGUCGAGGAAUUGGGGUGAAAAAUGGGAUUUGGUGGGAUUUGGGUCAUAAACUGGGGAGAAAAAUGGGAUUUGUUGGGACUU
This 839-nucleotide long non-coding RNA is filed under the name Gallus gallus (chicken). RNAcentral's name for it is "lncRNA (ENSGALG00010000209.1)". The record is from RNAcentral. Lineage: Eukaryota; Metazoa; Chordata; Aves; Galliformes; Phasianidae.